RNAcentral lists this ribosomal RNA (301 nucleotides) under uncultured bacterium. RNAcentral's name for it is "partial 16S ribosomal RNA". It matches the Rfam family "Bacterial small subunit ribosomal RNA", at positions 509 to 809 of the family's 1533-position model. The record is from RNAcentral.
CAGUCGCCGCGGUAAGACAGAAGAUGCAAGCGUUAUCCGGAAUGAUUGGGCGUAAAGCGUCUGUAGGUGGCUUUUCAAGUCCACCGUCAAAUCCCAGGGCUCAACCCUGGACAGGCGGUGGAAACUACCAAGCUAGAGUACGGUAGGGGCAGAGGGAAUUUCCGGUGGAGCAGUGAAAUGCGUUAAGAUUGGAAAGAACACCAACGGCGAAAGCACUCUGCUGGGCCGACACUGACACUGAGAGACGAAAGCUAGGGGAGCAAAUGGGAUUAGAUACCCCAGUAGUCCCUGUCUCUUAUAU